Molecule: ribosomal RNA, 119 nt
Organism: Lepisosteus oculatus (spotted gar)
Lineage: Eukaryota; Metazoa; Chordata; Actinopteri; Semionotiformes; Lepisosteidae
Source: Ensembl
ACCAGCAGCCAUAUCACCCUGCAACUCACAACUGGCAACCCACUGAAGCUAAGCAGGUGUGAGCCUGUUCAGUACCUGGAUGUGAGACCUCCUGGGAAAAACUAAGGUUGCUGCUGGAA